Molecule: transfer RNA, 70 nt
Filed under: Marmota monax (woodchuck)
Lineage: Eukaryota; Metazoa; Chordata; Mammalia; Rodentia; Sciuridae
Description: tRNA.Ala
Source: RNAcentral
GGGCUGGGGCUCAGUGGUGGAGCACACGCCUUGCACGCAUGAGGCACUGGGUUCGAUCCUGAGCACCACA